This 468-nucleotide ribosomal RNA is filed under the name uncultured bacterium. Its description in RNAcentral is "partial 16S ribosomal RNA". It matches the Rfam family "Bacterial small subunit ribosomal RNA", at positions 28 to 507 of the family's 1533-position model. The record is from RNAcentral.
GACGAACGCUGGCGGCGUGCUUAACACAUGCAAGUCGAACGGAAAGGCCCUGCUUUUGUUGGGUGCUCGAGUGGCGAACGGGUGAGUAACACGUGAGUAACCUGCCCUUGACUUUGGGAUAACUUCAGUAAACUGGGGCUAAUACCGGAUAGGAGCUCCUGCUGCAUGGUGGGGGUUGGAAAGUUUCGGCGGUUGGGGAUGGACUCGCGGCUUAUCAGCUUGUUGGUGGGGGAGUGGCUUACCAAGGCUUUGACGGAUAGCCGGCCUGAGAGGGUGACCGGCCACAUGGGGACUUGGAGACGGCCCAGACUCCUACGGGAGGCAGCAGUGGGGAAUAUUGCACAAUGGGCGGAAGCCUGAUGCAGCAACGCCGCGUGCGGGAUGACGGCCUUCGGGUUGUAAACCGCUUUCGCCUGCGACGAAGCGUGAGUGACGGUAAUGGGUAAAGAAGCACCGGCUAACUACGUG